CUGCGACCUGAGGAAGUCGUAUACACAGUGUGGCAGACACCACUUCUGAAAUUCACACCCCCUCCCACCCCCGGAUUUAUUCCCCCACCCCGUGCACGCAGGGACGGACACGCCCCCACUCCUGGGCGGCCCCUAAGAGAGGUUCUAUUUCCCACCAGCCUUAGCAAAAGUCAGGACCUGUGCACUUAAGAAAGAGCUUCCCCUACCGGAAAAGGGAUUUCCCAGGAUGUCUCAAGUAGGCAGGCUGUGACUAAGGGAGAGGCCGAUUAGCCUCACUAUGGCAACACGAACAACUUUCUCCCUGUUGGUCUCCCAAGCCUAUGUGGUCAUGGAAAGAGCCCUGGACCUGGAAUUGGAAGAUCUGGAUUCUAGAUGUGUCUUUGCCACUACCUACCUGUGACUUGGGCAAGUACUUAGCUCAUUUUUUGCCUAAAAAUUAAUGCAGUUAUUCAUUCAGUCAAUGGUCAUAAACCAAGAAACUGCUAAAUGCAUGUGGCUCUCAUUUUCCUCAUAUGUAAGUUAAAGGAACAACCUUAGGUCAACCCAAUAUUGAAAUCAUAUAAUUGAUUUAAAAAUGUCACUUUUUUCUUUUUGAGAAUGGAGAUGAAAAUCUAGGUUCUCCGGGGAUGCCUGGAUGGCUCAGUUUGUUGAGCAUCCAACUUCAGCUCAGGUCACGAUCUCAUGGUUUGUGAGAUCAAGCCCCACAUGGGGCUCACUGCUGUCAGCACAGAGCCUGGAGCCUGCUUCAGAUCCUCUGUCCCCACCUCUCUCUCUGCCCCUCCCCUGCUGUGCUUUCUCUCUCCAAAAUAAAUUUUAAAAAUCUUAAAAAAAAUCUAGGUCAUCUGGUAUGAUACAUAAACAUUGCAUAUUUAUCAAAAUAUUAGGCUAUGUAUUUUUAAAAUUUUUAAAAAUGUUUUUAUUUAUUUUUGAGACAGAGACAGACAAAGCAUGAGCAGGGGAGGGGCAGAGCAAGGGGGAGACACAGAAUCCAAAGCAGGCUCCAGGCUCCGAGCUGUCAGCACAGAGCCUGACGUGGGGCUUGAACUCACAGACUGUGAGAUCAUGACCUGAGCCGAAGUCGGAUGCUCAACCGAUUGAGCCACCCAGGCACCCCAAGGCUAUGUAUUUUUAAUUACUAAACUUUAAAAAAAAUUUUUGCACUAUAAAAGUACAUCUAUUUUAAUAAGUAUGCAUUAGAGAAGAUAAAAAGAAAACAAUAAUAUUUGUAUUCUUCCUUGAGUUCUACCUUACUGUGAUAAUUAGUAUUAACAUAAGUAUUCCAUAUU
Molecule: long non-coding RNA, 1286 nt
Organism: Neofelis nebulosa (Clouded leopard)
Lineage: Eukaryota; Metazoa; Chordata; Mammalia; Carnivora; Felidae
Exons: 3
Source: RefSeq, a predicted model, not a curated record